UGCCAGCCGCCGCGGUAACACAGAGGGUGCAAACGUUGCUCGGAAUUACUGGGCGUAAAGCGCGUGUAGGCGGACCCGCAAGUCGGGUGUGAAAUCCCUGGGCUCAACCUAGGAACUGCACCUGAAACUGCUGGUCUUGAGUGUCGGAGAGGGAAGCGGAAUUCCCGGUGUAGAGGUGAAAUUCGUAGAUAUCGGGAGGAACAUCAGAGGCGAAGGCGGCUUCCUGGACGACAACUGACGCUGAGACGCGAAAGCGUGGGGAGCAAACAGGAUUAGAUA
Molecule: ribosomal RNA, 279 nt
Filed under: uncultured bacterium
Lineage: Bacteria
Description: partial 16S ribosomal RNA
Rfam family: Bacterial small subunit ribosomal RNA
Source: RNAcentral